RNAcentral lists this transfer RNA (69 nucleotides) under Fukomys damarensis (Damara mole-rat). It matches the Rfam family "tRNA". From Rfam's summary of the family: Transfer RNA (tRNA) molecules are approximately 80 nucleotides in length. The record is from Rfam by way of RNAcentral. Lineage: Eukaryota; Metazoa; Chordata; Mammalia; Rodentia; Bathyergidae.
GGAAUUUUAGCUCUGCGGCAUAGCACCUGCCUUAUAAGCAGAAGGUCCUGAGUUCAAUCCCCAGGACCA